Long non-coding RNA from Bos indicus x Bos taurus (hybrid cattle), 614 nucleotides. The record is from Ensembl. Lineage: Eukaryota; Metazoa; Chordata; Mammalia; Artiodactyla; Bovidae.
AUCCCAGUCUCCUGCUACUUUAAGAACUUGACAAAUUGAAAGAGCUCUUUUUCUUUUCUUUCCAGAAACUCGAAAAAGGAAAUAAGGAACAAUUCUAAAGUAUCCCUGUCUCAUGACCCUGUCAUAUUCUCGGGGAAAUGAACUUAUGGAAGGCUGCGGGACAUGCCAGCAGAAGAGGUGAAGGGUUCCUGACUCUUGAGAAGGAUCCCACCUCCCUCUUCUCCAUUAGAGGGAGAGCUCCCCACUAGCACCCUGAUCUUUCCUGGACCCUUCAAAGACAGCAGCCACAGGUUCCUGGACUGGAGAAGUCUGACGAGCAGUUCUUCCCAGGCCUUCCUGAGCUGGAGGCUGACAGACGUGGAGACAGAGCUGCGCCAGAAUCAUGUGGAGGUGAUGGGUUCACUUCUGGGCAGUCAGAUGAGCCAGACAUAGCCAGGCCUGGCUGCUGUGGAGGAUAAUGUUCCCUCUGGGGAAGAACACAAGACCCCCUCAGCCACUUUUUCUCCAGCUUCAGCAGGCUACUGCAUUCCUCCCAGGCCCUGUCCUAUUUACUCCAGGUAGGGUGAUGAUUUGAAAAGACCCUGAUGCUGGGAAAGAUUGAAGGCGAGAGGAGA